Molecule: ribosomal RNA, 501 nt
Filed under: uncultured bacterium
Lineage: Bacteria
Description: partial 16S ribosomal RNA
Rfam family: Bacterial small subunit ribosomal RNA
Source: RNAcentral
GAUGAACGCUGGCGGCGUGCCUAAUACAUGCAAGUCGAGCGAACCUCUUCGGAGGUUAGCGGCGGACGGGUGAGUAACACGUGGGCAACCUACCUUGUAGAUGGGGAUAACAUCGAGAAAUCGGUGCUAAUACCGAAUAACACUUUUCUUCACAUGGAGAAAAGUUAAAAGUUGGCUUCUGCUAACACUACAAGAUGGGCCCGCGGCGCAUUAGCUAGUUGGUGAGGUAACGGCUCACCAAGGCGACGAUGCGUAGCCGACCGGCGAGGGUGAUCGGCCACACGGGGACUGAGACACGGCCCAGACUCCUACGGGAGGCAGCAGUAGGGAAUCUUCCGCAAUGGACGAAAGUCUGACGGAGCAACGCCGCGUGAGUGAUGAAGGCCUUCGGGUCGUAAAACUCUGUUGUUAGGGAAGAAUAAGUACCGUUCGAAUAGGGCGGUACCGUGACGGUACCUAACCAGAAAGCCACGGCUAACUACGUGCCAGCCGCCGCCGUAA